This 844-nucleotide long non-coding RNA is filed under the name Gopherus agassizii (Agassiz's desert tortoise). RNAcentral describes it as "lncRNA (ENSGAGG00000002979.1)". Lineage: Eukaryota; Metazoa; Chordata; Testudines; Testudinidae. The record is from RNAcentral.
CCGUUUGGCUUUCUUUGGUUUUAAACCAACUCCUCUUUAGCAUUCAUUUUUACGCUACUUUUCUUUUCAGGUCGCAUUGUACUAUAGAGCCAGAUUGUCAACUGCGAUAAACUAGCAUAACUACACUGAAGGCAAGGAAACUUCCGGUUUACACUAGCUGAGGAUCUCGCUGAUAGUUUUACCCUCUUCAGUCACGAAAAGGUGGAUGUCAGAUUUCAACAGCAUAGAGCAAAGGAGUGGGGAAAAGAGAGGUGUGUUUUUAAGCAGGCCAAUAGAAUGAAAUACCCCUAUAGCUCACACAAGGAGGAUGUAAAAGCAGCAAAGAGUCCUGUGGCACUUUAUAGACUAACAGACGUAUUGGAGCAUGAGCUUUCGUGGAUGAAUACCCACUUCGUCAGAUGCAUGUACAGGGAGGAUGCAGCUUUUCAAAUGACAAAGGUAUUUCCUGAGAGAGCCCAACCUCAAGGCUAUGUCUGCACUAGGGAUUUGUCCCAGUUUCAGUCAUCAGCAGCCCAGCCACUGAUGAUGUGGCCCAGUGCAAACCCCUAGAGUAGACGGGAUUGUUAAACUGCAAUUUGCACUGUUGCAAUUUAUCCUGGUUUCAAGCAAGGGUGAACCACACCCAGGGCCGACUCUAGGCACCAGCGCUCCAAGCAUGUGCUUGGGGUGGCACUUUUCAAGGGGAGGCACUCCGGCUCCUUUUUUUUGUUUUUUGCUUAGGGUGCAAAAAGCCAGGAGCCGGCCCUGAGUGGAGGUGAGCUGCGGCAAUGGGGGGCGCGGGGAGGGCUGCAGGAAGUAACUCUGGGUGUGGGCAGAGGAACUGUUCCCCCCCAGCUCACCUCCG